AGAGUUUGAUUAUGGUCAGGAUGAACGCUGGCGGCGUGCCUAAUACAUGCAAGUCGAACGAAGAUGUUCUUGAGUUUACUCGAGAGCUCUUAGUGGCGAACGGGUGAGUAACGCGUUGGUGACCCGCCCUAAAGAAGGGAACAACCUCGGGAAACUGAGAUUAAUACCCUAUGUGCUUCUUAAGAUUAGAUGCUUUUGAAGUAAAGGUUCUGUGGACGAAAGGACACAGUGCCGCUUUAGGAGGGGCCUGCGUACCAUCAGCUAGUUGGUAGGGUAAUGGCCUACCAAGGCGAUGACGGUUAGGGGACCUGAGAGGGUGACCCCCCACACUAGCACUGAAACACGGGCUAGACACCUACGGGUGGCAGCAGUAGGGAAUCUUGCACAAUCGACGAAAGUCUGAUGCAGCAACGCCGCGUGUGCGAUGAAGGCCUUCGGGUUGUAAAGCACUUUUCUGAGGGAAGAGAAAGGACGGUACCUCAGGAAUAAGUCUCGGCUAACUACGUGCCAGCAGCCGCGGUAAUACGUAGGAGGCGAGCGUUAUCCGGAUUUAUUGGGCGUAAAGCGCGUGCAGGUGGUUUGGUAAGUUGGGUAUGAAAUCUUCUGGCUUAACUAGGAGAGGUUGCUCAAAACUGCCAGACUAGAGGACGAUAGAGGAAGGUGGAAUUCCCGGUGUAGUAGUGAAAUGCGUAGAUAUCGGGAGGAACACCAGUGGCGAAGGCGGCCUUCUGGGUCGUUCCUGACACUAAGACGCGAAAGCAUGGGUAGCGAACGGGAUUAGAAACCCC
Molecule: ribosomal RNA, 788 nt
Filed under: uncultured Chloroflexota bacterium
Lineage: Bacteria; Bacillati; Chloroflexota
Description: bacterial SSU rRNA
Rfam family: Bacterial small subunit ribosomal RNA
Source: RNAcentral